RNAcentral lists this long non-coding RNA (256 nucleotides) under Physcomitrium patens. RNAcentral describes it as "long non-coding RNA (PPAT_LNC005819)". The record is from RNAcentral. Lineage: Eukaryota; Viridiplantae; Streptophyta; Bryopsida; Funariales; Funariaceae.
AUCUCCAAGGAUGUUGUGAGUGUGUAUUAUUAACAAUGGCAGAGGUUCAUAUGCAACUAUGCAACACGUUGUUCAUCUCAAUAAUUUAAUAUUUGGGCUAGUGUUGGAGUAUUUUUUGCAUGUCUGUGUGCUGAUUGUUUAUUUUCUUACAAUGAAGAAAUGGAUUGUAGUGAUUUAUAAGGUGGGAUUUUGAUUCCAAAUUUUUUUUUCAAGAAGAAUAUGAGCAAAGAGUUCCAUUACUUUAAAUUGAGAAUUU